Lolium rigidum is the source of this 2513-nucleotide long non-coding RNA. RefSeq lists it as uncharacterized. NCBI's taxonomy places the organism in Eukaryota, Viridiplantae, Streptophyta, Magnoliopsida, Poales, Poaceae. The transcript is spliced from 4 exons. The record is from RefSeq and is a predicted model, not a curated record.
GUCAAAGCGGUGCCACGAUCUCCACUUUGCCCCAACCUCUCCCUUCUUCUCUCUUCGGAUGUCACAUCUAUUGCAGCCGCCAUCAUCCUCCCCUUCUCAUGGGCAAUCGCCGCCGUUGCCCUCCUACCACAGGUGUGGUUCCCCACGUCGUCGGCCGUCCCCAGAUACCGACGCCUCAUGUUGCUUCCGCAUGAUUCGAGGCAGCCAGAUUGGAGUGGUGGUUGUGCCUCGCCGGCAUGGUUCCCGCAGUGUGUCGGCGUGUUCGGCGAGGUAAAGCUCCGUCCCGGUGUCUGGCUCCGGCGAGCACGAGUGGUGGGCGGCACGCCGAGCAAGGUCCAGUGGUCGCCUCUGCUCCUCUAGCCGGCGUCCACCCCCUCUCAUGUCGCCCCUACCGUCAUCCAUGGUUUUCAGCGGCAUCAUGCCUCUCCAGGGAGCCUUCCUUGCCGCUCUUCAGCAAUUUCCCGUGCUGAGUCGCCACAUCCCGGCGUCUCCGUCAUGCCGGGAGGAUUUGGGGAUAGGGGCUGCGGAGGUAAGGCUCGCCAUUGGUUGGGAUGCCUGCUGCCCCAGCGUGAUGGCUAGCAACCUGGCUCGGUUGCUAGCUUUUUAUCCUCCCUCCAGAUAGCCUGCUCUCAAUUGAAGCACAGGGCCCUGCAAAAAUAGAUUACAAUAACCAUCCGUCUCUUCUUUUUAUGCAUCAUUUAAAGUCCAACUAUAAUGCAAAAUUGAUGCGGCGUUUGUUUUUUACAUUGUUGCUUCUGCAGGUUCUAAAAGUUGCCUUCAUGGAUGUGUGACUUUCCAGUUCUCAGAUGGAUGGGGCAGACCAACAUGAUCCACCAGGGCAUCCCUGCUGGUGCCGUGGGAGAGGCCAGAUUUCCAGGUUGUUGGUCCAGUAGAUCGCUCCGGAGGACAGGCCAGAAUUCAGAAAGAGUGUGGACAGGGGCCAGUGUGUUCCUGCGUUUUUGAGGUAGGUUUCCAUCUGAUGUGAUCAACCAAUCAUUGCAUCUUAUUCAGAGAGGUCUAUCAAUUAGUAUGGUACUGUUAUCUUUUCUGGUUCUUUUAAUUUUGGCCACUUCAUUGUUAACUCAAUGUUUCCUCUUUAGAUUUUCUUCUAUUUUUUUUACUGAUUCUCUAUUAGUGCAUUUCCAGAUAUGAAAACAUGAAAUCUGAGAUAUGAACCAUGCAAACUGAAACUAUGUUAUGCUUACUGCUGUUUUGCUCUAUAUUUUUGUAGGUCCAAUACUCCAAAUAUUAUUAUUCCUGAAUUAGGAUGAUCGACCCCUCUCUGUUAAGCUAUUGCAUAACCUGGCCUGAUAUAUUUUUACAUUUCAUGCUGGAAUUCGUACUUUUGCAGGCAGCAUAGGAAAUUAGAAAUAUUACACAACACUGAAGCAUUCAUAGAAUGAUCUAACUUAAUUUAAUUAGCUUACAGCAUGUCCGAGGUAAAAUUCAUUGUUCUCAUUACCAUCUUUGAUUUUAAUUACCAUGGAGUUUGUCCUCAAUUUGUCUGGACGUUUUUCUUAUUCAGUACAGGUGGGUAUCACUGAUAGUAAACACCAUUGGCGCUUGGUUUUGAUAACAGAAGCCAUACCUUAGGUUCUGCUUCCAGAAUAGUUGACAUGUUACCAGAUCUAGCAUGCUUACUAUUACUAAGUGUGUUCCUUAUUGUCUCCUAAUUGAUAAUAAUUUAGGGUACAGUGGCAUCCAACUUAACAAAUGUAUGCUUAAUUAGCAAAGUAACACCUUGCAAGUUCUAAUUUACCUUUGGCCUGGAUCAUGCACUAAAUAACCCUUUGUACUACAUUGUGCUCCCAUUUCUUCUUAAUAUUUCCAAAAUUUCUCAGAUACGCACCAUGGUCAUGUAUGUAGUUUAGUGAAUACAUAUAUGAGAUUGAUCAUAAACUACGGCAUGCCCACACGCGCAUCACGCCGUUGCACUGCUUCUAAUCGUUUCAAUCAGCUUACUCUGCAAUGGCUAUGGUCUGUAUGGAAUCAGCUCUUCCUUUGCUUUUCUAAUUUUUAUUUAUUUGUCAGGCUACCAAAGAUAUGCUUACGGUCUAUGCUUAUAAGGUGAAACAAAUCCCAGCUUAGGGAGUGAAGGUUCAGCUUUUCCAGUUACCUUCUUUAGGGGGCGUAUACUUGGAGGCGUGUAGUCUUUGGCAACAUGGCCCGCCGAGUCCCUGUGAUGGGAAAGAAGCUGGAUAAGCAUGGACAUGAUCUCAAACAAGGUGGUGGCAACCAUCAGAGGAAGGCCAGUGCUUUGCAAGGAUGCUCACAGGAACGCGCUGCUGCUGGAAAAAAUAAGGGGGGCGGGUAGUUGCGGAUUGCCUAGAUAUGACCUAUGCAAGCUUUGGAUAUGUUGGAGUGUUCCCCUCCUCUAGAUUAGCUUUUGAGUUGUUCUCUUUGAAAUGUUUACCGGAUGAUGUAUAAGAACUAUUUUUGUUGUAUGUCGAUGGAAUCAGGGGCAGCCCCUUUUCUCUAAAAAAUAAACUAUCAAAUAUGUUUACACACCGACC